RNAcentral lists this ribosomal RNA (412 nucleotides) under Boophis tasymena. Its description in RNAcentral is "partial 16S ribosomal RNA". It matches the Rfam family "Bacterial large subunit ribosomal RNA", at positions 700 to 1267 of the family's 2925-position model. Lineage: Eukaryota; Metazoa; Chordata; Amphibia; Anura; Mantellidae. The record is from RNAcentral.
UUUAAGUUUGCCCCCCCGAAACUAAGUGAGCUACUUAAGAAUAGCUUCCUAGAGCCAACCCCUCUCUGUCGCAAAAGAGUGGGACAAUUUUUAAGUAGAGGCGAUAAACCAACCGAACUCAGAGAUAGCUGGUUUUUUAAGAAAUGAAUUUUAGUUCAGCCCUAAGCCUCAAAACUAAACAGAAAGUUUACUUAGACUUAGGAGUUAUUCAGAUAAGGCACAGCUUAUCUGAAACAGGAUACAACCUGCAUUAUUGGGUAAGAUAUUGAAUUGAGAUUAAGUAGGCCUAAAAGCAGCCACCUUUAAAAUAGCGUCAAAGCUUAAUUUGAUAAUUUUAUUAAUUUCCUAAACUACCUCUAACCCAUUUUUUCUAUUAAAAAACUCCAUAAAACUAUGGAAAUUAUUAUGCUAG